CGGUCCAAGGCUAUAGGCAGAUGUAUAGGUCUCGGCCUGAAAACGGGGAAGGCCGCAGCAGCCAGUAACCCAUAUUAUGUGGAAUAAUAGAAAUGGGAGAGAUCUGUCAAUCAAUCCAUGUCAGGCCCAGACAAGCCGGGUGGGGAAAAGAUCUUGCGAUUAUGUCUGCAAAUUGCGUAUCCCCAAAACAUCGAUACUGGGUGUGUGCGUUCCACAUUAUGCGGAACAGAACAGCCGACCUCUAACAGAACAGUCCUAUCCUUGUCUGUAAUGCUGACAAUAAAAUGACAAGUUCUAUCAUUUUGCA
Long non-coding RNA from Bufo bufo (common toad), 307 nucleotides. RefSeq lists it as uncharacterized. The record is from RefSeq and is a predicted model, not a curated record. NCBI's taxonomy places the organism in Eukaryota, Metazoa, Chordata, Amphibia, Anura, Bufonidae. The transcript has 3 exons.